RNAcentral lists this ribosomal RNA (635 nucleotides) under Sordariomycetes sp. RNAcentral describes it as "eukaryotic LSU rRNA". The stretch from base 283 to 436 matches the Rfam family "5.8S ribosomal RNA". Lineage: Eukaryota; Fungi; Ascomycota; Sordariomycetes. The record is from RNAcentral.
AGCGGAGGGAUCAUUACUGAGUUAUUAAAACUCCAAACCCUUUGUGAACCUUACUGUCGUUGCCUCGGCGUGAGCUACGGCUACCUUGUAGUUACCCUAUAGCUACCCUGCAGCUACCCUAUAGUUGACCAGUGGCUACCCUGUAGUUACCCUAUAGUUACCCUGCAGCUACCCUAUAGUUGACCAGUAGCUACCCUGUAGCCGGCUUAUGGCCCGCCGAAGGACCGCUAAACUCUUGUUUUUUACCACUGUUUCUCUGAAUUGUAAACUUAAAUAAGUUAAAACUUUCAACAACGGAUCUCUUGGUUCUGGCAUCGAUGAAGAACGCAGCGAAAUGCGAUAAGUAAUGUGAAUUGCAGAAUUCAGUGAAUCAUCGAAUCUUUGAACGCACAUUGCGCCCAUUAGUAUUCUAGUGGGCAUGCCUAUUCGAGCGUCAUUUCGACCCUUAAGCCCCUGUUGCUUAGCGUUGGGAAUCUACAGCGUAGUUCCUUAAAGUUAGUGGCGGAGUUAGGGUACACUCUCAGCGUAGUAAUCUUUCUCGCUCGUGUGGUGGCCCUGGCUGCUAGCCGUUAAACCCCUAUAUUUUCUAGUGGUUGACCUCGGAUUAGGUAGGAAUACCCGCUGAACUUAAGCAU